AUUGAACGCUGGCGGCAGGCCUAACACAUGCAAGUCGAGCGGAUGAAGGGAGCUUGCUCCUGGAUUCAGCGGCGGACGGGUGAGUAAUGCCUAGGAAUCUGCCUGGUAGUGGGGGAUAACGUCCGGAAACGGGCGCUAAUACCGCAUACGUCCUGAGGGAGAAAGUGGGGGAUCUUCGGACCUCACGCUAUCAGAUGAGCCUAGGUCGGAUUAGCUAGUUGGUGGGGUAAAGGCCUACCAAGGCGACGAUCCGUAACUGGUCUGAGAGGAUGAUCAGUCACACUGGAACUGAGACACGGUCCAGACUCCUACGGGAGGCAGAAGUGGGGAAUAUUGGAAGAUGGGCGAAAGCCUGAUCCAGCCAUGCAGCGUGUGUGAAGAAGGUCUUCGGAUUGUAAAGCACUUUAAGUUGGGAGGAAGGGCAGUAAGUUAAUACCUUGCUGUUUUGACGUUACCAACAGAAUAAGCACCGGCUAACUUCGUG
RNAcentral lists this ribosomal RNA (484 nucleotides) under uncultured bacterium. RNAcentral's name for it is "partial 16S ribosomal RNA". It matches the Rfam family "Bacterial small subunit ribosomal RNA", at positions 30 to 507 of the family's 1533-position model. The record is from RNAcentral.